Molecule: ribosomal RNA, 471 nt
Filed under: uncultured bacterium
Lineage: Bacteria
Description: bacterial SSU rRNA
Rfam family: Bacterial small subunit ribosomal RNA
Source: RNAcentral
UGGGGAAUAUUGGGCAAUGGGCGCAAGCCUGACCCAGCAAUACCGCGUGUGUGAAGAAGGCCUGAGGGUUGUAAAGCACUUUCAAUGGGGAGGAAAAAGGCAAGUUUAAUACGCUUGCCCUUGACAUUACCCAUACAAGAAGCACCGGCUAACUACGUGCCAGCAGCCGCGGUAAUACGUAGGGUGCGAGCGUUAAUCGGAAUUACUGGGCGUAAAGCGUGCGCAGGCGGCCGCGCAAGUCAGGUGUGAAAUCCCCGGGCUUAACCUGGGAAUUGCGCUUGAAACUAUGUGGCUUGAGUGUGGCAGAGGGGGGUGGAAUUCCACGUGUAGCAGUGAAAUGCGUAGAGAUGUGGAGGAACACCGAUGGCGAAGGCAGCCCCCUGGGCCAACACUGACGCUCAGGCACGAAAGCGUGGGGAGCAAACAGGAUUAGAUACCCACGUAGUCCCUGAGCGGGCUGGCAAGGCGCAU